Molecule: ribosomal RNA, 460 nt
Filed under: uncultured bacterium
Lineage: Bacteria
Description: partial 16S ribosomal RNA
Rfam family: Bacterial small subunit ribosomal RNA
Source: RNAcentral
CCUACGGGAGGCAGCAGUGAGGAAUAUUGGUCAAUGGGCGCGAGCCUGAACCAGCCAAGUAGCGUGAAGGAUGACUGCCCUACGGGUUGUAAACUUCUUUUAUAAAGGAAUAAAGUGAGGCACGUGUGCCUUUUUGUAUGUACUUUAUGAAUAAGGGUCGGCUAACUCCGUGCCAGCCGCCGCGGUAAUACGGAGGAUCCGAUCGUUAUCCGGAUUUAUUGGGUUUAAAGGGAGCGUAGAUGGGUGGUUAAGUCAGUUGUGAAAGUUUGCGGCUCAACCGGAAAAUUGCAAUUGAUACUGGCAGUCUUGAGUACAGUUGAGGUAGGCAGAAGUCGUGGUGUAGCGGUGAAAUGCUUAGAGAUCACGAAGAACACCGAUGGCGAAGGCAGCUUACUAAACUGCCACUGACAUUGAUGCGCGAAAGUGUGGGGAUCAAACAGGAUUAGAUACCCUUGUAGUC